GAUGAACGCUGGCGGCGUGCCUAAUACAUGCAAGUCGAGCGAACAGACGAGGAGCUUGCUCCUCUGACGUUAGCGGCGGACGGGUGAGUAACACGUGGAUAACCUACCUAUAAGACUGGGAUAACUUCGGGAAACCGGAGCUAAUACCGGAUAAUAUAUUGAACCGCAUGGUUCAAUAGUGAAAGACGGUUUUGCUGUCACUUAUAGAUGGAUCCGCGCCGCAUUAGCUAGUUGGUAAGGUAACGGCUUACCAAGGCAACGAUGCGUAGCCGACCUGAGAGGGGGAUCGGCCACACUGGAACUGAGACACGGUCCAGACUCCUACGGGAGGCAGCAGUAGGGAAUCUUCCGCAAUGGGCGAAAGCCUGACGGAGCAACGCCGCGUGAGUGAUGAAGGUCUUCGGAUCGUAAAACUCUGUUAUUAGGGAAGAACAAAUGUGUAAGUAACUAUGCACGUCUUGACGGUACCUAAUCAGAAAGCCACGGAUAACUACGUG
Molecule: ribosomal RNA, 497 nt
Filed under: uncultured bacterium
Lineage: Bacteria
Description: partial 16S ribosomal RNA
Rfam family: Bacterial small subunit ribosomal RNA
Source: RNAcentral